RNAcentral lists this ribosomal RNA (253 nucleotides) under uncultured bacterium. RNAcentral describes it as "partial 16S ribosomal RNA". It matches the Rfam family "Bacterial small subunit ribosomal RNA", at positions 524 to 776 of the family's 1533-position model. The record is from RNAcentral.
UACGGAGGGGGCUAGCGUUGUUCGGCAUUACUGGGCGUAAAGCGCACGUAGGCGGCUUUGUAAGUUAGAGGUGAAAGCCCAGGGCUUAACCCUGGAAUUGCCUUUAAGACUGCAUCGCUAGAAUCGUGGAGAGGUGAGUGGAAUUCCGAGUGUAGAGGUGAAAUUCGCAGAUAUUCGGAAGAACACCAGUGGCGAAGGCGACUCACUGGACACGUAUUGACGCUGAGGUGCGAAAGCGUGGGGAGCAAACAGG